Molecule: long non-coding RNA, 435 nt
Filed under: Homo sapiens (human)
Lineage: Eukaryota; Metazoa; Chordata; Mammalia; Primates; Hominidae
Description: HSALNT0307649
Source: RNAcentral
AAUUCCUGGACACAUAUACCCUCCCAAGACUAAACCAGGAAGAAGUCGAAUCCCUGAAUAGACCAAUAACAAGCUCUGAAAUUGAGGCAGCAAUUAAUAGCCUACCAACCCAAAAUAGCCCAAGACCAGAGAGAUUCACAGCUGAAUUCUACAAAGAGGAGCUGGUACCAUUCCUUCUGAACCUACUGCAAACAAUUGAAAAGGAAGGACUCCCCCUUAACUCAUUUUAUGAAGCCAGCAUCAUCCUGAUACCAAAACCUGGAAGAGGCACACCAAAAAAAACAGAACUUUAGAUCGAUAUUUCUGAUGAACAUCAAUGCAAAAAUCCUCAGUAAAAUACUGGCACACUGAAUCCAGCAGCACAUCAAAAAGCUUAUCCACCAUGAUGAAGUUAGCUUCAUCCCUGGGAUGCAAGACUCACAUCCAGCAAGCUAC